RNAcentral lists this ribosomal RNA (512 nucleotides) under uncultured bacterium. Its description in RNAcentral is "partial 16S ribosomal RNA". The record is from RNAcentral.
GGAGUUAGCCGGUGCUUCUUCUGCGAGUAACGUCACAGAUGUAAGGUAUUAACUUACACCCUUUCCUCCUCGCUGAAAGUGCUUUACAACCCGAAGGCCUUCUUCACACACGCGGCAUGGCUGCAUCAGGGUUUCCCCCAUUGUGCAAUAUUCCCCACUGCUGCCUCCCGUAGGAGUCUGGGCCGUGUCUCAGUCCCAGUGUGGCUGAUCAUCCUCUCAGACCAGCUAGGGAUCGUCGCCUAGGUGAGCCUUUACCUCACCUACUAGCUAAUCCCACCUGGGCUUAUCCAUCAGCGCAAGGCCCGAAGGUCCCCUGCUUUCCCCCGUAGGGCGUAUGCGGUAUUAGCAGUCGUUUCCAACUGUUAUCCCCCACAAAUGGGCAAAUUCCCAGGCAUUACUCACCCGUCCGCCGCUCGUCAUCUUCAAAAGCAAGCUUUUGAAAUGUUACCGCUCGACUUGCAUGUGUUAGGCCUGCCGCCACGCGUCAUCUGAGCCACGAAUACAACUACUGA